Cyprinus carpio carpio is the source of this 1753-nucleotide long non-coding RNA. NCBI's taxonomy places the organism in Eukaryota, Metazoa, Chordata, Actinopteri, Cypriniformes, Cyprinidae. The record is from Ensembl.
UGUAUUAAAGGCUCCUGUAAGAGGGACUUUUAUUAUGAAACCGGAAUUGUUAUAGUACGACGUUAGGGGGCAGUGUAGUUUGAUGAGCUGCCGCUGUUUGGUGUGUUCGUGUGAUCUGUCCAAGCCAUCAGCUGCAAGGAUGAUGCUUCCAGUUUAUUUGUGGAGAUUGUUGCAGAUUUAAUAUCAGGGUGUUAGUCACUGACCACAAAACUAUCUACGCCUUUGAUUGUACAUCUGUGGGCCUUCCUUUUCUCUACUAAUACAACAUUGAAAGCUAAUCACCUGCCUCCUCAUUAUUGGUGCUCUGACCGGCACCCAGGGGGGUUUACUCAUCCAUUACCUGAUCAGAACCUAACAGUCCUAAAGUCUCUCCAACAAAUUUGGUCCUUCGAGCCGGAUGAGUAUUCCCUUUUGACAUGAUGGAUCCUGAUGAGGAGAUUGUUAGUGGUGCUCGUCCUAAACGUCAUACUCGUCCACCAGCUCACCUUCAGCAGUAUGAAGUACAGUAUACCCGAGUCAGACCUGUCGCUGAGUAUGAUGUUCCGCAUCCUUUGGAGGCACCUGUCCGCCGGACUACCCCCCUAUCCUUCCAGCCUUACGCCACUCCCCCUGGUGGUGACCUGGUCUGUUCUGAUGGCUCACAGAUCAUAGCCUCAAAUUAUCAGCCUCCACAGCAUGCUGAAUUCCAUCAGUCAUCCUUCUCCUCGCCUCAAGCAGCUGGUUUGAUUUCCUCUGCACACGGCAGUGAAUUAGAGCACCUGCGUCAUGAGCAUGCACAACUUAUUCAGACUCAUCAGGCUUUCCAAGCAGACCUGAGGGAGCUGAGAGAAGUCCGUGCGGAAGUCAGAGAAUUAGUUCAAGUUGCUCAGUCACUUCGAGCUGACCUUAGUCUAACCAGAGGCCAGAAUCUCUCAUCAGCACAGCCACCAGCAUUGCAGCUAUCCAGUCCUCCUGUGAGGCGGUAUGAAUCCACACCUUUCGCGGAUGAGGGAAAUUUUGCGGAUCUUCCCCCACCACCCUGGCCUGAGCCUGACGUUGACUGGAUGAACCAGGUGGGUGACCUUACACUCUCCGACACGGGCGCCACUGUUUACCACCCAGUGAUGCCAGAGAAUAGAAAGUAUUCCUUUGUGUUCCCGGCUACUGAAACACGCCCUCCUAAGCCUUAUGCUCCUGACACUGGCGGGUUCCCCCCACCUCCAACCCCUAAAGAGCUUCGAGAGUUACUCACAUCUGCGGCCAUGCCCUUACCUGCUAACCGCACAACCGUGCCUGUUUCUUCACGAUUCAGUUCAGUACCUGCUCAUUUGAAUCCUCCAUCCUUUGCACCAAAGGCAGAGCCCGGCCUAUGUUCUGUAGCACCUCAUUCUAGGUCUGAAUAUUUAUACCGGGGACCUUUUCCCACGAUUCCUAAGUUCAGCCGGUCUGAUCCUGGCGAGUUUGCUCGGCUCCGGAUAGCUCUGGAGAACCUGCUUCCCCCAGAUGGGACUGAACUUUUCAAAUAUCAGAUCUUAAUGGAUCACCUUAAGCUGGAGGAGGCUAGAAUGAUAGCAGAUGCUUAUCUUAACUCACCAACUCCAUUCACUGAUACGAUGGCAGCACUUCAUGAUAAAUUUGGUCAACCACAUCAGCUAGCUUUAAGGAAGAUUGCUAGUGUCCUUGAGAGUCCUGACAUAAAGAGAGGCGAUAUAUCAGCCUUCCAAAGGUUUGCUCUCCAAGUGCAGUCAUUAGUGGGCCUAUUGAGAACUCUGGG